GUCCCAGCGUGCCCCGCGCGCGCGCGCGCGUGGCAGUUGGAGCCCGGCUGCCGAGGCGCCUUCCCGCCGCCAGAGCCAGGUGACGUCUGUGCAGCAUGAUGGUGGCCUGAGAAGCAUGAGGCUGUGGCACCGGGGGCCCUGAAGGCUGGUGGGCUCACGGGGAGGAAUGCUACGGUGGGCAGUGCACUUGGAAGGUGGGCCUCGAAGGGUGAACCACGCUGCUGUGGCCGUCGGGCACAAGGUGUAUUCCUUUGGUGGCUAUUGCUCUGGAGAAGACUAUGAGACUCUACGGCAGAUUGAUGUUCACGUUUUUAACGCAGUGUCUCUGCGUUGGAUCAAGCUGCCUCCAGUGUGGACAAACAGCCGAGACCAUGUGAGAGAGGUGCCCUAUAUGAGGUAUGGGCACUCAGCAGUGCUCAUAGAUGACACCAUCUACAUAUGGGGUGGUCGCAAUGACACUGAGGGAGCCUGCAACGUGCUCUAUGCCUUUGAUGUCAACACGCACAAAUGGUUCACACCAAAGGUGUCUGGAACGGUCCCAGGAGCAAGAGAUGGGCACUCAGCGUGUGUCCUGGCAAAGAGCAUGUUUAUCUUCGGAGGCUACGAGCAGCUGGCUGACUGCUUUUCUAAUGACAUCCAUAAAUUGGACACCACAAGCAUGAUGUGGACCUUAAUCUCUGCCAAGGGUACACCAGCUCGUUGGAGAGACUUCCAUUCGGCUACCAUCAUUGGAACAAAGAUGUAUGUGUUCGGUGGCAGAGCUGAUCGGUUUGGGCCAUUUCAUUCCAACAAUGAGAUCUACUGCAACCGCAUUAAAGUAUUUGACACAGAAACAAACUCCUGGCUGGACUCCCCUCCCACUCCAGUGCUCCCUGAAGGCCGGAGGAGCCAUUCAGCCUUCAGCUACAAUGGGGAGCUAUAUGUAUUUGGUGGCUACAACGCGCGCCUGAACAGACACUUCCACGAUCUCUGGAAAUUCAAUCCAGUUUCUUUUUCUUGGAGGAAGAUUGAGCCCAAGGGGAAAGGCCCAUGUCCUCGACGUCGGCAGUGCUGCUGCAGAGUUGGGGACAAAAUCAUUCUCUUUGGAGGCACCAGCGGUGAGCUGUGCCCCGUAGUUUGAACUGGCAUUACAAGAACUGGCGAGGGUGGUACCAUCUCGUGUCCUGGUGAGAUGUGAAGCUUGGGAAGCAAGUGACACUGGGAUGAGACGUCGCAGCACAAGCUCCCAGCUAGGCAGGAAAGACACGUUGAACUUCCUUGUUGCAGACUGAAGUGGGGCUUGAAAUGCCUUUCCUUUCUGUUAAACUCUCCGAACAACUGUCAACCACAGAAGAGUUUUCCCUUGGGCCAGGCGCUGCUGUCCCAGCACAGGCUGCUCUGCCUGCGCUCAGAGCACUGAUCAGGCUGCUAUGUGGCUUCGACCACUCUCCUCCCACCACCCGCCAAGACUGCAGGGGACCUUAGAGAUGAGGCUGCCUGUUCCCUGGGAACGCCUGAAACGACCGCUCCCCUCUGGCAUCGCAGCACCAACCUCAGAUGGGAGCAUCAACAAAUUGGGGCUGGCUUAGAGCGACAGUCCCGCAGAUCAGGAUCUGACGCUCACUCAGUCCCCUGAAAACAGGGACUCGCUUAGUCCCCGUUGCAGCAUGGCCUGUUGGCGCAACCAGGGAGCUGUGGCUGGAGCCUGCGGUUGAACGGAGAACGUCUGCACUUGCACUGCCGCGUGGAUGUUUCCUAGCUGCUUUCUCCACGUUUCUCUCUCAAUGACUCAAUGGCCCAUCUGAAAUAACUGCAGCACAUCUUAACCAUGUGAACACCGGAGUGAUGAAUGCUGUGUGGCUGGGCAGAACUGCUUUUAUCUGAAUGCUGUGCUGUCGGACUUGGCACGGACUUGCCUUCCAAUCCUGCAGCAGGACCCCGAAGCUGCUGCUGUAAUUGGAGGAACACGGUAAAUGCCGUAAUUGGAGGAACAUGGUAAAUGCCGUAAUUGGAGGAACACGGUAAAAUAGGACGUUCUCCUGGCCGCAGGCUGCCAAGCUGCGGGUUUUUGCUAGAGACUUUGUGUUAACCCAGUGCGUAUGUGCAGCUAGUGCAGACAAAGAGGGGAAGAACCUGCCGCUGCUGAACCAAGAGGAGACCUCCGUGGAUGCUAAUUGUCAACUGCAGCCUUCACUCUUCUGCAGAAAAUGUUGAGCUCCUGGAAAGCACCUUCCAUACAGUCCCAAAAGAAAGGUGCUCAGCUUAUUGCAUUCCUGCACGCUGCGGUGCUGGAGCAGUGUGGCAGUGUUUGCCUGCUCUGUCCUCAGCAGCAUCAGUGCUCCCAAGAGCUUGCAGGCGUAAGAAUCUAGCUCACGGGUUUCCAUGGCAUUACUCAUGAGUAACAUGCUGCCUGAGGCAGCCCGUGAAUGUUGCACAGCCUUGGGAAGCAAGAGCUGAGGUGUGGGCAGGCAGAGCUGAGCCGUGUUGCCUGCAACAUAUGGCUGCUCUUGUUGCUUCUCCAGGGACUGUAAGCCUGGAUGGCCAGUGGCUACUUGUUGGUGCUGCCAACAUCUCUGGAGACAUGGAGACAGGCCAUGGCUCCCCUGCCCUCUGGCCUUGCAGCACAGCUGCAGAGCCUUGCAGAGAGGCCUUCUGCGGCCCCCAGCUUUUCCCACUGGCUUCACUGGAUGCCAGCACAGCUCUGAACUGUCUCGUGAUGGCAGGCAGCAUUGGACACUGGUGUGGGGCAGCCAGUGGGCCCUGCUUGUUGCACAUGGAGCAGCAUGUUUGGAUAGAUGCCUGUGCAAGUGUAUCUGCACGUGGGAGCAGCUGUAGCAUCCCUCACUCCUCCUCUUGGGACCCUGGGAUUCGGCUUUGCCUCUCUGAGGGGAGCGGAGGCAGCUCUUUGGAGGACCCGUCUCCAGAGGAGGGAAUGGGCGAUGAAUUUGACCUGAUGGAUCACUCGGAUCUCUACAUCCUCGACUUCA
This is an RNA transcript of Rhea pennata, 2966 nucleotides long. It is a transcript of the gene named kelch domain containing 3, with no coding region annotated. The transcript is spliced from 10 exons. The record is from RefSeq and is a predicted model, not a curated record. Lineage: Eukaryota; Metazoa; Chordata; Aves; Rheiformes; Rheidae.